GCCGAUGUAGCUCAACGGUAGAGCAACUGACUUGUAAUCAGUAGGUUGCCAGUUCGAUUCUGGCCAUCGGCU
This 72-nucleotide transfer RNA is filed under the name bacterium. RNAcentral describes it as "tRNA-Thr". It matches the Rfam family "tRNA". From Rfam's summary of the family: Transfer RNA (tRNA) molecules are approximately 80 nucleotides in length. Their secondary structure includes four short double-helical elements and three loops (D, anti-codon, and T loops). Further hydrogen bonds mediate the characteristic L-shaped molecular structure. tRNAs have two regions of fundamental functional importance: the anti-codon, which is responsible for specific mRNA codon recognition, and the 3' end, to which the tRNAs corresponding amino acid is attached (by aminoacyl-tRNA synthetases). tRNAs cope with the degeneracy of the genetic code in two manners: having more than one tRNA (with a specific anti-codon) for a particular amino acid; and 'wobble' base-pairing, i.e. permitting non-standard base-pairing at the 3rd anti-codon position. RNAcentral also lists the same sequence under 2 other names. The record is from RNAcentral.